RNAcentral lists this long non-coding RNA (1029 nucleotides) under Salmo salar (Atlantic salmon). Its description in RNAcentral is "lncRNA (ENSSSAG00000084839.1)". Lineage: Eukaryota; Metazoa; Chordata; Actinopteri; Salmoniformes; Salmonidae. The record is from RNAcentral.
GUCCACUACUGCUGUACAUGUCCAUCAUGAAACAGGACAUGCAGCCAUGUUAUGAGGUCAGGGUUCGCCGGAGAUAAUGAACGUUACUGCUGUACAUGUUUAUCAUGAAACAGGACAUGCAGCCAUGUUAUGAGGUCAGGGUUUGCUGGGAACAGGCAGCCAUGUUAUGAGGUCAGGGUUCACAGGGAACAGGCAGCGAUGUUAUGAGGUCAGGGUUUGCUGGGAACAGGCAGCCAUGUUAUGAGGUCAGGGUUCACAGGGAACAGGCAGCCAUGUUAUGAGGUCAGGGUUAGCUGGGAACAGGCAGCCAUGUUAUGAGGUCAGGGUUAGCUGGGGACAGGCAGCCAUGUUAUGAGGUCAGGGUUAGCUGGGAACAGGCAGCCAGAUUAUGAGGUAAGGGUUCACUGGGAACAGGCAGCCAGGUUAUGAGGUCAGGGUUAGCUGGGAACAGGCAGCCAGGUUAUGAGGUAAGGGUUCACAGGGAACAUGCAGCCAUGUUAUGAGGUCAGGGUUUGCUGGGAACAGGCAGCCAUGUUAUGAGGUCAGGGUUCGCUGGGAACAGGCAGCCAUGUUAUGAGGUCAGGGUUAGCUGGGAACAGGCAGCGAUGUUAUGAGGUCAGGGUUAGCUGGUAUUAGGCAGCCAUGUUAUGAGGUCAGGGUUAGCUGGGGACAGGCAGCCAUGUUAUGAGGUCAGGGUUUGCUGGGAACAGGCAGCGAUGUUAUGCGGUCACGGUUAGCUGGGAACAGGCAGCCAUGUUAUGAGGUCAGGGUUAGCUGGGGACAGGCAGCCAUGUUAUGAGGUCAGGGUUAGCUGGAGACAGGCAGCCAUGUUAUGAGGUCAGGGUUAGCUGGGGACAGGCAGCCAUGUUAUGAGGUCAGGGUUAGCUGGGGACAGGCAGCCAUGUUAUGAGGUCAGGGUUAGCUGGGAACAGGCAGCGAUGUUAUGAGGUCAGGGUUAGCUGGGGACAGACAGCGAUGUUAUGAGGUCAGGGUUAGCUGGGGACAGGCAGCCAUGUUAUGAGGUCAGGG